This 648-nucleotide ribosomal RNA is filed under the name uncultured Bacteroides sp. RNAcentral describes it as "bacterial SSU rRNA". It matches the Rfam family "Bacterial small subunit ribosomal RNA", at positions 73 to 715 of the family's 1533-position model. Lineage: Bacteria; Pseudomonadati; Bacteroidota; Bacteroidia; Bacteroidales; Bacteroidaceae. The record is from RNAcentral.
UCUUAGCUUGCUAAGGCCGAUGGCGACCGGCGCACGGGUGAGUAACACGUAUCCAACCUGCCGUCUACUCUUGGACAGCCUUCUGAAAGGAAGAUUAAUACAAGAUGGCAUCAUGAGUCCGCAUGUUCACAUGAUUAAAGGUAUUCCGGUAGACGAUGGGGAUGCGUUCCAUUAGAUAGUAGGCGGGGUAACGGCCCACCUAGUCUUCGAUGGAUAGGGGUUCUGAGAGGAAGGUCCCCCACAUUGGAACUGAGACACGGUCCAAACUCCUACGGGAGGCAGCAGUGAGGAAUAUUGGUCAAUGGGCGAGAGCCUGAACCAGUCAAGUAGCGUGAAGGAUGACUGCCCUAUGGGUUGUAAACUUCUUUUAUAAAGGAAUAAAGUCGGGUAUGCAUACCCGUUUGCAUGUACUUUAUGAAUAAGGAUCGGCUAACUCCGUGCCAGCAGCCGCGGUAAUACGGAGGAUCCGAGCGUUAUCCGGAUUUAUUGGGUUUAAAGGGAGCGUAGAUGGAUGUUUAAGUCAGUUGUGAAAGUUUGCGGCUCAACCGUAAAAUUGCAGUUGAUACUGGAUAUCUUGAGUGCAGUUGAGGCAGGCGGAAUUCGUGGUGUAGCGGUGAAAUGCUUAGAUAUCACGAAGAACUCCGAUUG